GUGUCAGCAGCCGCGGUAAGACGAACCGUGCGAACGUUGUUCGGAAUCACUGGGCUUAAAGGGCGCGUAGGCGGGCCAUCAAGUCAGAGGUGAAAUCCCCCGGCUCAACCGGGGAACUGCCUUUGAUACUGGCGGUCUGGAGUAAGGUAGGGGCAUGCGGAACUGAUGGUGGAGCGGUGAAAUGUGUUGAUAUCAUCAGGAACUCCGGUGGCGAAAGCGGCGUGCUGGACCUUUACUGACGCUGAGGCGCGAAAGCCAGGGGAGCAAACGGGAUUAGAAACCCUGGUAGUCC
RNAcentral lists this ribosomal RNA (292 nucleotides) under uncultured bacterium. Its description in RNAcentral is "partial 16S ribosomal RNA". It matches the Rfam family "Bacterial small subunit ribosomal RNA", at positions 505 to 796 of the family's 1533-position model. The record is from RNAcentral.